GGUAGUGACGAAAAAUAACAAUACAGGACUCUUUCGAGGCCCUGUAAUUGGAAUGAGUCCACUUUAAAUCCUUCCGCGAGGAUCCAUUGGAGGGCAAGUCUGGUGCCAGCAGCCGCGGUAAUUCCAGCUCCAAUAGCGUAU
This 141-nucleotide ribosomal RNA is filed under the name Cervus elaphus (red deer). RNAcentral's name for it is "partial 18S ribosomal RNA". It matches the Rfam family "Eukaryotic small subunit ribosomal RNA", at positions 463 to 602 of the family's 1831-position model. Lineage: Eukaryota; Metazoa; Chordata; Mammalia; Artiodactyla; Cervidae. RNAcentral also lists the same sequence under 2 other names. The record is from RNAcentral.